This 497-nucleotide ribosomal RNA is filed under the name uncultured bacterium. Its description in RNAcentral is "partial 16S ribosomal RNA". It matches the Rfam family "Bacterial small subunit ribosomal RNA", at positions 28 to 507 of the family's 1533-position model. The record is from RNAcentral.
GAUGAACGCUGGCGGCGUGCCUAAUACAUGCAAGUCGAGCGAACAGACGAGGAGCUUGCUCCUCUGACGUUAGCGGCGGACGGGGGAGUAACACGUGGAUAACCUACCUAUAAGACUGGGAUAACUUCGGGAAACCGGAGCUAAUACCGGAUAAUAUAUUGAACCGCAUGGUUCAAUAGUGAAAGACGGUUUUGCUGUUACUUAUAGAUGGAUCCGCGCCGCAUUAGCUAGUUGGUAAGGUAACGGCUUACCAAGGCAACGAUGCGUAGCCGACCUGAGAGGGUGAUCGGCCACACUGGAACUGAGACACGGUCCAGACUCCUACGGGAGGCAGCAGUAGGGAAUCUUCCGCAAUGGGCGAAAGCCUGACGGAGCAACGCCGCGUGAGUGAUGAAGGUCUUCGGAUCGUAAAACUCUGUUAUUAGGGAAGAACAAAUGUGUAAGUAACUAUGCACGUCUUGACGGUACCUAAUCAGAAAGCCACGGCUAACUACGUG